Molecule: long non-coding RNA, 1494 nt
Filed under: Malus domestica (apple)
Lineage: Eukaryota; Viridiplantae; Streptophyta; Magnoliopsida; Rosales; Rosaceae
Description: long non-coding RNA (MDOM_LNC015833)
Source: RNAcentral
AACGGUAAGAGGACCAGUAGGGGAGACGAAGGAUGGGCGUCAUAUGUUGUCUGGAGAAGGCGGGGCUGCCUCUUCAACAAGGUUCAAGUCAAAACGACGGUCGGAGGGGCCAGACAUUUUCAAAGGUGUUGAAGAGAGAAGAGGUCGGACAAAUCAAGAUCUUAGAAGUGCAAGAAUGAAGCUUCUACUGGUGGAGAUUCAAGUGUGCUUUGGAACUUAAUGUCAGCCCCUAUAAAAAUCUGCACUCGACGGAGCUUCAGAAAUCGAAGAGGCGCCUGCUCAGAAAUCGAAGAGGCGUUUGCUUUCUCAAAAGCUGGGCUGCUUAGAGAUCACGAGGGUUGAUCUCAGAAAUCGAAGAGGCGUUUGCUUUCUCAAAAGUUGGGCUGCUCAAAGACCACGAAGGUCGAUCUCAGAAAUCGAAGAGGCGCUCGCUUUCUCAAAAGCUGGGCUCCCCAGAGACCACGAGGGCCGAUCUCAGAAAUCGAAGAGGCACCUACUUUUCCAGCCUUGUCAGCACCUGUCACACGCACACUCAGCUUUGCGGAAAUUAUGGGCAUUCUGUCGAAGACUUCUGGGGAAGUAGAAAACUCAUGAAUCUUACUGUUCAAUCACCCACUUCCCACACGCAACAAUACAAUAGCUCAUGGGUACCACAGAUAACUUUGCCAAAGUUCUCUGCCAAAGUUGAGCACGUGAAGCUUGCAGCUCCUACUCGCUCUGACUCUCGCUCUGACCAAGAAGGGUAAAAGAAUAGCAAAGAAACAGCACUAACAAAGUUUAGACCCAUAAAUUUUGAAGGUCUAGCUACCAUAUUAUUACCCACAAGGGUAAAGGAACAGUACCACUGCUGGAUAAUUGGAAGGUCCCUGUGUGUCAACCUCUGUGCUUCGUGGCAAGGUAGACUAGCAAACAUGCCCAACCUUUACUCACAUUCGAGAAAACACUCCCAAUAAGAUUGCUUGCUCCAAAAUCGAAGAGGCACCGUCCUCCGAAUCUCGAAUCUCGAGAGAGCCAGACUCCCAACAUGACUACUUUUCUUAAAAAAUCGAAGAGAGGGUAAAGGAACAGUACCAUUGCUGGAUAAUUGGAAAGUCCCUGUGUGUCAACCUCUGUGCUUCGUGGCAAGGUAGACUAGCAAACAUGCCCAACCUUUACUCACAUUCGAGAAAACACUCCCAACAAGAUUGCUUGCUCCAAAAUCGGAGAGGCACCGCCCUCCGAAUCUCGAGAGCCAGACUCCCAACAUGAUUACUUUCUCAAAAAUCGAAGAGACACUGCUCCCCGAAUCUUCGAGAGCCAGAGCCCCAGCAUGAUUCCUUUCUCAAAAAUCGAUAAGGCAUCGUUCUCCAAAUCAAUCGAAGAGGCGCUCGCUUUCUCAAAAGCUGGGCUGCUCAGAGACCACGAGGGCCGAUCUCAGAAAUUGAAGAGGCACCUACUAUUCUAGCCUUGUCAGCACCUGUCACACGCACACUCAGCUUUGCAGAAAUUAUGGGC